This is a small nuclear RNA of Heterocephalus glaber (naked mole-rat), 178 nucleotides long. Its record names the gene U2. It matches the Rfam family "U2 spliceosomal RNA". From Rfam's summary of the family: U2 is a small nuclear RNA (snRNA) component of the spliceosome (involved in pre-mRNA splicing). Complementary binding between U2 snRNA (in an area lying towards the 5' end but 3' to hairpin I) and the branchpoint sequence (BPS) of the intron results the bulging out of an unpaired adenosine, on the BPS, which initiates a nucleophilic attack at the intronic 5' splice site, thus starting the first of two transesterification reactions that mediate splicing. Lineage: Eukaryota; Metazoa; Chordata; Mammalia; Rodentia; Bathyergidae. The record is from Ensembl.
AUCGCUUCUCAGCCUUUUGGCUAAGGUCAAGUGUAGCAUUCGUUCUUAUCAGUUUAAUAUCUGAUACAUCCUCUAUCCAAGGACAAUAUAUUAAAAGAAUAAAAUAAAAUAAUUAACUUGUUAGUUAUGAGGGUAUGGAGCCUUGAUAUUUCUGUUUGCAAAUAUUACCCUGGUAAUU